Molecule: small nuclear RNA, 22 nt
Filed under: Arabidopsis thaliana (thale cress)
Lineage: Eukaryota; Viridiplantae; Streptophyta; Magnoliopsida; Brassicales; Brassicaceae
Description: snRNA_10798
Source: RNAcentral
UACUGCAGGUUAAUAACUAGAU